AUUGAACGCUGGCGGCAGGCUUAACACAUGCAAGUCGAGCGGUAGCACAGGGGAGCUUGCUCCCUGGGUGACGAGCGGCGGACGGGUGAGUAAUGUCUGGGAAACUGCCUGAUGGAGGGGGAUAACUACUGGAAACGGUAGCUAAUACCGCAUAACGUCGCAAGACCAAAGAGGGGGACCUUCGGGCCUCUUGCCCUCAGAUGUGCCCAGAUGGGAUUAGCUAGUAGGUGGGGUAAUGGCUCACCUAGGCGACGAUCCCUAGCUGGUCUGAGAGGAUGACCAGCCACACUGGAACUGAGACACGGUCCAGACUCCUACGGGAGGCAGCAGUGGGGAAUAUUGCACAAUGGGCGCAAGCCUGAUGCAGCCAUGCCGCGUGUGUGAAGAAGGCCUUCGGGUUGUAAAGCACUUUCAGCGAGGAGGAAGGUGGUGAGCUUAAUACGUUCAUCAAUUGACGUUACUCGCAGAAGAAGCACCGGCUAACUCCGUG
This 490-nucleotide ribosomal RNA is filed under the name uncultured bacterium. RNAcentral describes it as "partial 16S ribosomal RNA". It matches the Rfam family "Bacterial small subunit ribosomal RNA", at positions 30 to 507 of the family's 1533-position model. The record is from RNAcentral.